UCAGUAGAAGAUGAUGAUCUCAUCUCCUACAUAAUGGGUGGUUUGAAUCCUGCAUAUACUCCAUUUAUUACCUCUUACAACUUUGCUACUCAUGAUGUUCCCAUGACAUUUUAGGAUUUCAAACUGAACUUCUAAA
Carya illinoinensis is the source of this 136-nucleotide small nucleolar RNA. RefSeq annotates it as small nucleolar RNA Z247. The transcript has a single exon. Lineage: Eukaryota; Viridiplantae; Streptophyta; Magnoliopsida; Fagales; Juglandaceae. The record is from RefSeq and is a predicted model, not a curated record.